This is a non-coding RNA of Chelonoidis abingdonii (Abingdon island giant tortoise), 1093 nucleotides long. The record is from RefSeq and is a predicted model, not a curated record. Lineage: Eukaryota; Metazoa; Chordata; Testudines; Testudinidae.
CAUGUGCCCUGCUGCUCUAACCACUAGACAGUACUCUCCUCCCAGAGCUGGGAUAGAACCCAGGAGUCCUGCCUCCACCUGCUAAACCAGACUCCGCCUCCUCCCAAUCCCAGAGCUAUCCAGGUGCCAGCCGGACGAGUCUCCCCAGGCGCCCCACAGCAGCAGUUCCGAGACCAGCCCUACCCUUUUCUCAAAGGAACAGGAGUCCUCCAUAGCCACAGACGGGGUAACGGUACGUCUCCCCUGCUUUUCCCCGGCAGAUUUCCAUGGCCGUUCUCACCGGCAUUGUCUUCUUGUAUGUUCUCCACCAAGUCCUGGGGCCCGUGAUCUGGGCCGGCUUCACCCGACUCAUCCAAAGGUUUGAAGAGGCCCUAGAUGUUCGCACAGAGUCCAACAUCACCUUCUCCGGCUCUUCCUCCAUCCAAAGCCAGGAGAGCUCCCACCACACGUCCCCCUUGUAGAUCUGAAUCAGCAGCAACGGCCACCUGCCCCGGUGCCGCAUGGAAGAACCGGCCCCUCAGCGUCCCAUCGUCCCCAUCGCAAGUCCCAGCCUGUAUCCAAACAUUCCUUUCCUCUCUGCGGUCCCCAGCAGCCCGAGAGCCCCCUCCCCUUCCUCCCCUGCUCCCUGCUUCGGGCCGGGACCUUUUGUCACCGACUUGGCUGACGAGUCCAGGCAGGCUAGACCCAAGCUGUGGUGGGCGUGCUAUUGCUCAGAUCUGGCAUCGCUCUGCGGCUUUCCUGGCUAAAGCAGAGGGGAUCAGGGCUUUCCACAGUAGCCCUGGAGCAAACGAGUCUGUCAGAACUAUAAAGACCUGAACCCACAGGGCGUUGCUCUAAACGCCUCAGCCAGAGAACGGUGGCCGGCCUUUCCCAGUGCAGCUGAAACAGGAGCUCCAUUUGGCCACCCAUUUCGAUGCUCCCGGCCUUAUCCGUGAUGGUACCCAAGCUCCAGGCAUGAUCGGAAGGGUAGUGAGCGGCUGCUCCAGUCUGAGCAGGAUUGGGAGCUCCCGCGCAGUGAGUGGGACCUUUGGAUACAGGAACUCCCAUGUCAAAAUCUCUCGCUUUGUUGAACGAAUGAAAAUCUUCCCAUCUC